Molecule: ribosomal RNA, 267 nt
Filed under: Triticum aestivum (bread wheat)
Lineage: Eukaryota; Viridiplantae; Streptophyta; Magnoliopsida; Poales; Poaceae
Description: partial small subunit ribosomal RNA
Source: RNAcentral
AUGGAGAGUGGCCAGAGGAUCAAGGACGGCCAACCCCUGCCUCCUCUCCAGCAUGCUCGUCUCUGCCAUCUCUGCCGAAAAAGGAGACGGGAGCAAGAUGAGAAGACGAAGGAGAAGCCCUGCCAUCUCUGCCCCGUCCACUGCGUUGAGCGCGGGGACCGUCUGGGCUCUGCUUAUGCACCCCAAACUAUUCACCUCCACGCCACUUCCAAUCUCCCCAUCCCUUUCUUGAAGGGCAUAUUUCCAACAGUCUCCCACUUGCACUAG